GGCGAACGCUAGCGGCGCGCCUAACACAUGCAAGUCGUGCGGGAAAGGGCUUCGGCCCCAGUACCGCGGCAGACGGGUGAGUAACACGUGAGUAACCUGUCCUCGGGUCUGGGAUAACCACCCGAAAGGGUGGCUAAUACCGGAUAAAGUCACCGGGCGCAAGCUCGGUGAUGAAAGGGGGCCUCUGCAUAGCAAGCUCCUGCCUGAGGAGGGGCUCGCGGCCCAUCAGCUAGUUGGUGGGGUAACGGCCCACCAAGGCUAUGACGGGUAGCCGGCCUGAGAGGGUGGUCGGCCACACGGGCACUGAGACACGGGCCCGACUCCUACGGGAGGCAGCAGUGGGGAAUCUUGGGCAAUGGGCGAAAGCCUGACCCAGCGACGCCGCGUGGGGGAAGAAGGCCUUCGGGUCGUAAACCCCUGUUCUGGGGGAAGAACCCUGGCUGGGUUAAGAGCCCAGUCAGGCUGACGGUACCCCAGGAGAAAGCCACGGCUAACUGCGUGCCAGCAGCCGCGGUAAUACGCAGGUGGCGAGCGUUGCCCGGAAUUACUGGGCGUAAAGGGUGCGUAGGCGGCCGGACAAGUCGUAGGUUAAAGCCCGGGGCUCAACCCCGGAAAGGCCUACGAUACUGUCUGGCUUGAGGGCUGGAGAGGCUGGCGGAAUUCCCGGUGUAGGGGUGAAAUCCGUAGAUAUCGGGAGGAACACCGGAGGGGAAGCCGGCCAGCUGGACAGCUCCUGACGCUGAGGCACGAAAGCGUGGGGAGCAAACCGGAUUAGAUACCCGGGUAGUCCACGCCGUAAACGAUGGGUGCUAGGUCUGGGGAGGUAAUCUCUCUGGGCCGAAGCUAACGCGUUAAGCACCCCGCCUGGGGAGUACGGCCGCAAGGCUGAAACUCAAAGGGAUUUGACGGGGGCCCGCACAAGCGGUGGAGCACGUGGUUUAAUUCGAUGCAAAGCGAAGAACCUUACCCGGGCUUGACAUGCCAGGGUUGUACCCCGGUGGAAACACUGGGGAGCGUGGGGUUUUCUCACGCGCUCUGGCACAGUGCUGCAUGGCUGUC
This 1059-nucleotide ribosomal RNA is filed under the name uncultured Geothermobacterium sp. RNAcentral's name for it is "bacterial SSU rRNA". It matches the Rfam family "Bacterial small subunit ribosomal RNA", at positions 28 to 1053 of the family's 1533-position model. Lineage: Bacteria; Pseudomonadati; Thermodesulfobacteriota; Thermodesulfobacteria; Thermodesulfobacteriales; Thermodesulfobacteriaceae. The record is from RNAcentral.